GACGAAGUUCAAGUACAAGCGCACAAUUGGUGGAUAACGAGAUUCAAGCACAAGACAAAGUAUUAUAGUUUUAAUGAGUCGUUCUUAAUUGUGUUCUUGAUCCGACAACUUGACUCAUGACAUGGCUUCUCUCGUAAAAUUAUUUUUACAAAAUCAUGCAUAUUUAAUUUAAUGCUAAAUGAUUUUAAAUCAUGCAUAUUUACUUUAGUCAAAAUAGUUUUUAAACAUGCCUCUAAAAUCUGGAUUAAGAUAAUCGAUUAUGUUCUUAUGAUGAUCGAUUAUGUUAAGCCA
RNAcentral lists this long non-coding RNA (291 nucleotides) under Nicotiana benthamiana. RNAcentral describes it as "long non-coding RNA (NBEN_LNC036139)". Lineage: Eukaryota; Viridiplantae; Streptophyta; Magnoliopsida; Solanales; Solanaceae. The record is from RNAcentral.